AAGUCGUAACAAGGUUUCCGUAGGUGAACCUGCGGAAGGAUCAUUAACAAUAAUCCAAACACUUGUCUUGGCUGCGAACUUGCUCUAUAAACGAGCAGGCAAGCAGCCGCUGACACAACUCACACUAACAUUCAGCAUUGACAACUAAUGGAGAACCAAUACAAUAUAAAAGAAAAACAACUUUUAACAAUGGAUCUCUCGGCUCUU
RNAcentral lists this unclassified non-coding RNA (207 nucleotides) under fungal sp. Its description in RNAcentral is "partial internal transcribed spacer region". The stretch from base 1 to 46 matches the Rfam family "Eukaryotic small subunit ribosomal RNA", at positions 1786 to 1831 of the family's 1831-position model. The record is from RNAcentral. Lineage: Eukaryota; Fungi.